Molecule: long non-coding RNA, 333 nt
Organism: Zingiber officinale
Lineage: Eukaryota; Viridiplantae; Streptophyta; Magnoliopsida; Zingiberales; Zingiberaceae
Exons: 5
Source: RefSeq, a predicted model, not a curated record
AGGGAGAACAGAGGACAAAAGAGCUGGAGACAUAGCAGCUGAUCAGUAUCACAAGUACAAGGAAGAUGUGAAGUUGAUGCAUGACAUGGGCCUGGAUGCCUACAGAUUCUCUAUCUCCUGGAGCAGAGUCAUUCCUAAUGGUAGAGGCCAGUUAAUCCAGAAGGGGUGUAGUAUUAUAAUAACUUGAUCAAUGAACUCAAGAAAUAUGGAAUUGAACCUCAUGUCACUCUUCUUCACUUUGACCUCCCCCAAUCUUUAGAAGAUGAAUAUUCUGGACUCUUGAGCCCAAAGAUUGUAGAGGACUUCACUGCUUAUGCUGAUGUGUGCUUUAGA